GACGAACGCUGGCGGCGUGCCUAAUACAUGCAAGUCGAGCGGAAUGAAGAAGAAGCUUGCUUCUUCUGAUUUUAGCGGCGGACGGGUGAGUAACACGUGGGCAACCUACCUUGUAGAUUGGGAUAACUCCGGGAAACCGGGGCUAAUACCGGAUAAUCCAUUUUGCUUCAUGGCGAGAUGUUAAAAGGCGGCUUCGGCUGUCACUACGAGAUGGGCCCGCGGCGCAUUAGCUAGUUGGUAGGGUAAUGGCCUACCAAGGCGACGAUGCGUAGCCGACCUGAGAGGGUGAUCGGCCACACUGGGACUGAGACACGGCCCAGACUCCUACGGGAGGCAGCAGUAGGGAAUCUUCCGCAAUGGACGAAAGUCUGACGGAGCAACGCCGCGUGAGUGAAGAAGGUUUUCGGAUCGUAAAACUCUGUUGUAAGGGAAGAACACGUACGAGAGUAACUGCUCGUACCUUGACGGUACCUUAUUAGAAAGCCACGGCUAACUACGUG
Molecule: ribosomal RNA, 500 nt
Filed under: uncultured bacterium
Lineage: Bacteria
Description: bacterial SSU rRNA
Rfam family: Bacterial small subunit ribosomal RNA
Source: RNAcentral